RNAcentral lists this long non-coding RNA (881 nucleotides) under Homo sapiens (human). Its description in RNAcentral is "HSALNT0175710". Lineage: Eukaryota; Metazoa; Chordata; Mammalia; Primates; Hominidae. The record is from RNAcentral.
AACAGCUGCAUGUAAUAGUCCAUGACAGAUUUACCGUUGAAGAAGGUGAACAAUGAAGAACAAAUGAAGUUGAUGGGAUGGCUAGAACAUUGUAAGAUGGUCAAAACAAAAAGAACACCGUUGAGGGCUCAGUGGAAGGAAAUUUCCUUGUCUCAGGUUUUUCUUUUGUCCAGCCACCUCUCUAAACUGUUUGACUUCUGCAGUUGUUUUUCAGGUGUGGGACGAAGGACAGAACUCAGUCAUCUCUCUGCUCACCUGAGACAAAUGCAUAUCUGAUUGCUUCCUCUGCCCUAUGUUUAUUUUAUCUUAUGUGAAAAGGCAGAUUUAUUGGACUAGACAAAUGUAUAAGUAACUAUUCCUGUACCCCCCUGUCAUGCGUACAUUGUGUAUUCAGGGAAUGGCUGAUGAAACACUCAAGAGGAUGCAACUGCUUGCCUCUUAUCUAGUCACACCCUUUAAAAAAUUUCUUCCUCUUUCCUCAUACCUGCGCUUUUGCCUUUGAAUACUGAGGUCUCCAGACCCUCUUCAGAAAAAGUAUGGGUCACAAUUUUCCCUGUGGUUCUGGGUUCUUUCUCAGGCAUGUCCUUAACCUUGGCAAACAAACAUCUUAAAAUGAUUUAGACUUGCCUCAGUCGUUUUGAUUUACUCUGUAUCUGUACAUGUACUCUGUAAAUUUUGGCUGGCAAGUCCAAAAUUUAUAGUGUGGGCCAGCAGGCUGGAGAUACGGAAGAGCUGAUGGUGCAGAUGAAGCUUGAAGGCAGUCUUCUGGAAAAUUCCUCUUGCUCCAUGAGGGGAGGGAUGAGGGAAAUGGAGGGGGGAAGGUCAGCCUUUUGUUUCACUCAGACCUUCAACUGAUUGAAUAAAAUCUACCCACAUUAUGA